AAUUUUGGAAUAGUAUGACUUCUAAUCAUAUAAUGUUAUAUAUUAACACAAAAUUU
This 56-nucleotide transfer RNA is filed under the name Paratomella rubra. RNAcentral describes it as "tRNA-Ser". Lineage: Eukaryota; Metazoa; Xenacoelomorpha; Acoela; Paratomellidae. The record is from RNAcentral.